Xiphophorus hellerii (green swordtail) is the source of this 512-nucleotide long non-coding RNA. RefSeq lists it as uncharacterized. The transcript is spliced from 2 exons. Lineage: Eukaryota; Metazoa; Chordata; Actinopteri; Cyprinodontiformes; Poeciliidae. The record is from RefSeq and is a predicted model, not a curated record.
GGGGAAACAAAAUUAAAUUCUGUCGCCGAAGGCGACAGAAUUUGUUAUGCACAGGCCAUCAUCGUCUCUGAACCUCCUGGAACCCAUUCCCACUAUAAAAUAUAAUUAAAUUUGUCCCUUAUAAGUCACACAGGUUAGGGUUAGAAAAAUUGGUUAGGGUUAGGCAUUAAAGAUCACAGAGGUUAGGUUCAGGAUAAAUUGGUUAAGUAUAGGCAUUAAAAAUCACAAAGGUUAGGAUUAGGAUAAACUUGGUAAGGUGAGACCAUAAAAAAGAAAAAAUAAAUAAUAAUCAUAUUACAAAGCGUAUUAAAUAGCAUGUAGGAGAUAAACAUUUCUAAACUUUUAGUAGCUAAUUGAAUUUUUCAUUGAGGCCUUUAGGAUGUUUGGUGUCCAAUUUUGAAAUCCAAAUCCUCUCGGCUUUCCGUCGUUCACUUACUUUCCACCUCGGAUUGGUUUGAAUCACCGUGGCAGAAACCGCCUGCCAUCCAUGUAAUAAAAAGUGAUUCACUAAA